Carlito syrichta (Philippine tarsier) is the source of this 1413-nucleotide RNA transcript. It is a transcript of the gene named E3 ubiquitin-protein ligase Mdm2 pseudogene, with no coding region annotated. The transcript has a single exon. NCBI's taxonomy places the organism in Eukaryota, Metazoa, Chordata, Mammalia, Primates, Tarsiidae. The record is from RefSeq and is a predicted model, not a curated record.
AACCAAAGCCAUUGCUUUUGAAGUUGUUAAAGUCUGUUGGCGCACAAAAAGACACACGAUGAAAGAGGUUCUAUUUUAUCUUGGCCAGUACAUCAUGACUGAAUGCCUGUAUGAUGAAAAGCAGCAGCAUAUUGUGUAUUGUUCAAAUGACCUUCUGGGAGAGCUGUUUGGCAUGCCCAGCCUCUCUGUUAAAAAGCACAGGAAAAUAUAUACAAUGAUCUACUUAAACUUGGUGGUAGUUAACCAGCAGGAACCUUCAAUCUCUGGAACACCCAUCUGUGAGUGAGGACAGGUGUCACCCUGAAGAUAGGAGUGAUCAAAAGGACCUUGUGCCAAAGCUACAAGAAGAAAAGACUUCGUCUUCACACGUAGCUUCCAGACUAUCUACCUCAUCUAGAAAGAGAGCUGUCAGUGAACAAAGAGAACGCCAACGAGCUGCCAGGUGAGCGAGAGAGGAAACAGCACAAGUCGGACACUAUCGCCUCUCGCUGUCGUCUGACGAAAGUCUGGCCCUGUGUAUGGUUUGGGAGAUCUGCAGCGAGAGAGCCAGCAGCAGAGACGACCAGCCCUGAUCUUGAUGCCAGGGUGCCGUCCAGCCCUGAUCUUGAUGCCAGUGUAAGUGAACAUUCAGGUGAUUGGUUGGACCAGGAUUCAGUUUCAGAUCCAUUUAGAGUAGAAUCUGAAGUUGAGUCUCUUGAUUCAGAAGAUUACAGCCUCAGUGAAGAAGGACAGGAACUCUCCACUGAAGAUGAUGAGAUGUAUCGGGUUACUGUGUCCCAGGCAGGGGAGGACAAAAUGGACUCAUUUGAAGAAGAUCUGAAAAUUUCCUUAGCUGACUACUGGAAGUGCCUCGCGUGCAGGGAAGUGAACCCUCCCGCGCCACCGCAUUGCAACAGAUACUGGGCCCUGCAUGAUAUAGCUGGCUUCCCAAGGACAAAGGGAAGGACAGAGGGGACUCCCCUGAGAAGGCCACCCUGGAGCACCCUGCACAGACUGAGAAGGGCUUCGACGAUCCGGACUGUAAAAUGACUGCAGUGAGCAAUUUCAAGGAGUCAAGUCCCGAGGAAAACUACAAGAAAGCCACACCAGCCUCCCAGUCACAGGAGAGUGAGAACUACUCCCAGCCAUCCACUUAAUCUAGUAACAUCGUUUGUAGCAGCCAGGAAGACUUCUGAGAGCACGAAAGGGAAGACACACAAGAUAGAGAAGAUGGCAUGGAGGCUAGCUUUCUCUUCAACACCAUCGAGUCCUGUGUGAUCCGCCAAGGUCGACAAGAAUGGGUGCGUUGUACACAGCAAAACCAGAUACCUCAGGGCCCGCCUCCCAUGCACCAGGAAGCUAAAAAAGAGACACAAGCCCUGCCUGGUGUGUGGGCAGCCCAUACAGAUGAUCGUGCUGACCGACUUCCCCUAG